RNAcentral lists this ribosomal RNA (254 nucleotides) under uncultured bacterium. RNAcentral's name for it is "partial 16S ribosomal RNA". It matches the Rfam family "Bacterial small subunit ribosomal RNA", at positions 524 to 776 of the family's 1533-position model. The record is from RNAcentral.
CACGUAGGGUGCGAGCGUUGUCCGGAAUUAUUGGGCGUAAAGAGCUCGUAGGCGGUGUGUCGCGUCGGCCGUGAAAACCUGCAGCUUAACUGUGGGCUUGCGGUCGAUACGGGCAUCACUGGAGUUCGGCAGGGGAGACUGGAAUUCCUGGUGUAGCGGUGAAAUGCGCAGAUAUCAGGAGGAACACCGGUGGCGAAGGCGGGUCUCUGGGCCGAUACUGACGCUGAUGAGCGAAAGCGUGGGGAGCGAACAGG